GCCGGGCACGGUGGCACAUGCCUAUAAUCCCAGUGGCUUGGGAGGCUGAGACAGGAGGAUCGCGAGUUCAAAGCCAGCCUCUGCAAAAUCGAGGCACUAAGCAACUCGGUGAGACCCUGUCUCUA
Molecule: small RNA, 125 nt
Filed under: Marmota monax (woodchuck)
Lineage: Eukaryota; Metazoa; Chordata; Mammalia; Rodentia; Sciuridae
Source: RNAcentral